Molecule: ribosomal RNA, 429 nt
Filed under: Chloroflexota bacterium
Lineage: Bacteria; Bacillati; Chloroflexota
Description: Chloroflexi bacterium partial 16S ribosomal RNA
Rfam family: Bacterial small subunit ribosomal RNA
Source: RNAcentral
UGGGGAAUAUUGCACAAUGGGCGCAAGCCUGAUGCAGCCAUGCCGCGUGUGUGAAGAAGGCCUUUGGGUUGUAAAGCACUUUCAGCGGGGAGGAAGGCGAUAAGGUUAAUAACCUUGUCGAUUGACGUUACCCGCAGAAGAAGCACCGGCUAACCCCGUGCCAGCAGCCGCGGUAAUACGGAGGGUGCAAGCGUUCAUCGGAAUUACUGGGCGUAAAGCGCACGCAGGCGGUCUGUCAAGUCGGAUGUGAAAUCCCCGGGCUCAACCUGGGAACUGCAUCUGAUACUGGCAAGCUUGAGUCUCGUAGAGGGGGGUAGAAUUCCAGGUGUAGCGGUGAAAUGCGUAGAGAUCUGGAGGAAUACCGGUGGCGAAGGCGGCCCCCUGGACGAAGACUGACGCUCAGGUGCGAAAGCGUGGGGAGCAAACGGG